UACAGAGGUCUCAAGCGUUGUUCGGAUUCAUUGGGCGUAAAGGGUGCGUAGGUGGCGCGCUAAGUCGGGUGUGAAAUUUCGGAGCUUAACUCCGAAACUGCAUUCGAUACUGGCGUGCUUGAGGACUGGAGAGGAGACUGGAAUUCAUGGUGUGGCAGUGAAAUGCGUAGAGAUCAUGAGGAAGACCAGUGGCGAAGGCGGGUCUCUGGACAGUUCCUGACACUGAGACACGAAGGCCAGGGGAGCAAACGGG
This 253-nucleotide ribosomal RNA is filed under the name uncultured bacterium. RNAcentral describes it as "partial 16S ribosomal RNA". It matches the Rfam family "Bacterial small subunit ribosomal RNA", at positions 524 to 776 of the family's 1533-position model. The record is from RNAcentral.